Molecule: ribosomal RNA, 465 nt
Filed under: Vreelandella stevensii
Lineage: Bacteria; Pseudomonadati; Pseudomonadota; Gammaproteobacteria; Oceanospirillales; Halomonadaceae
Description: partial 16S ribosomal RNA
Rfam family: Bacterial small subunit ribosomal RNA
Source: RNAcentral
CCUACGGGCGGCAGCAGUGGGGAAUAUUGGACAAUGGGCGAAAGCCUGAUCCAGCCAUGCCGCGUGUGUGAAGAAGGCCUUCGGGUUGUAAAGCACUUUCAGUGGGGAAGAAAGCCUUGGGGCUAAUACCCUCGAGGAAGGACAUCACCCACAGAAGAAGCACCGGCUAACUCCGUGCCAGCAGCCGCGGUAAUACGGAGGGUGCGAGCGUUAAUCGGAAUUACUGGGCGUAAAGCGCGCGUAGGCGGUCUGAUAAGUCGGUUGUGAAAGCCCCGGGCUCAACCUGGGAACGGCAUCCGGAACUGUCAGGCUAGAGUGCAGGAGAGGAAGGUAGAAUUCCCGGUGUAGCGGUGAAAUGCGUAGAGAUCGGGAGGAAUACCAGUGGCGAAGGCGGCCUUCUGGACUGACACUGACGCUGAGGUGCGAAAGCGUGGGUAGCAAACAGGAUUAGAUACCCUAGUAGUC